Long non-coding RNA from Carassius carassius (crucian carp), 3006 nucleotides. RefSeq lists it as uncharacterized. The transcript is spliced from 2 exons. The record is from RefSeq and is a predicted model, not a curated record. Lineage: Eukaryota; Metazoa; Chordata; Actinopteri; Cypriniformes; Cyprinidae.
CUAUUAGGUGUUAUCACCAAACAUUAUUGUUUGUCAAUUUUGAUUCUGAAACAAUCAGUUUCUUGUAUUUUUAUUAAUCAUGUUAAUUAGCUAAUAACUAACUUAAAACCUUUAUUAUGUCAAGGUUAUUAAGUUCAUGUGGUCUGUAUUCCAUGAUAUUUAAUAUAGAUUAACAUAGAUUAAACAGUUUUCAACAAGUGCCCCGGUUGAAGAAUCACCAAUACAUCUCAGAGAAGACUUCAUUUAAAUGCAAUGAAUGUGAAAAAAAAACAAGCCAAAAAACACAAAAACAGUACGUUUUGUUAAUAAUGUAAUCAAAGCUGUGUCUGUUGAAUCUGACUUGCCUGUAGCAACUGAAAUUGGUUAAUACUAAACGAAAACCAAUACAACUUUAUUUUGCGAUCAAGUUAUUCUGUGUGCGAAAAUGUAGUCAUCUCCAGAUUAUGUAAAACUCAAAUCACGUCAAGCCUAAAAAUAGAGCGUUCAGAUUUCCCUCAAAGUGAGACGUCACAGCGGUUCUGAAUACUGAGGGUGAAAAAAAGAGGAAGCAUCUGAAAAAGUUGCUUGGAUCGACGUGGAAAAGUAUGUUGGAAUCGAUGCCUCCAUGGCAUGAGAGACUACGAAAUGAGAAGCUGAAGACUGAGAGAUCACGCCUUGAGUCCGCCUUUGAUGCAGUCUCCAUGGCGACUACAGUUUCCUGGGUAACCCCCAUUAAUGUUACCAUGACAUUCUCCCCCGUUGUCAGAGCAACGCUCCAGAUGGUUCACAAAGCCUGACUGGCAAAAUAGAGCGCGAGAAUUGCGAUCAGAUAAGGAUCUCAAUCCUUUAUUGGAUGUAUCUCUAACAUUUUGCAGCCUAAUAGUAUUUAAUAUAUUAUGUAAAACAGCUUCUGCAAAUAAUUAGCAUAGCCCUGGGUUUGCAAACCAUCCAGAGCGGAUACACUCUCACAUAUUUGCAUUUUUUUAUCUUUUACAAAUGUCUGAAUGUGCUCAUGUGGAAAAUUGCAUUGAUAUUGAUUGACAAGAUGGACUGACAGACAGAUGGAAAACAUGCUGUGCAUGCAAAAUGCCAGCGUUACUUCAGUGCGCGAAGUAGGUUGUGGUGGAUUGUUAUUGUCGCCUGUUUCUCGGGUGUUUUCUCUUUGUAGCUGUCAAAGUGAGAUUGUGUAUAGGUUAUGGGCUCACUCAGGCGUUCCCUAUUUGGCUCUCCUGUGGAGAAAACAGGACGCGAGGUGCAGCGUGAGCUGAUUACCGGAGGUUUCACGCUGACGCUCCAGUUGACGGGUGUUAGAGGCUGCGCGGCAGUCCGCCAGACACGUCCCAAGCUCUCAGUCAGAGAGCAUCAUUCUCAUCCUGUAGACCUGCGCGGUUCAGUCACAGUCAUCUGCGCUUUCCGCCCUAUAGUCGUCAUUUUACACUAUAUAGAAGUAGAGCAGCAACAGAAGACACGCACGGCUGUUAUUAAAUUCAGUAAUAAAGAAAACAAGUACAAACAUUUUUUUUAACAAAAACAAAUCUGCAUGUAAUUUAUUGCUCAAUUUCACUUUCAUAACACCAGAUUUGUAAUGCUUAUUUGACAGGUAUGAAACAGGUACUUGCUGACUUGUCGCUCAGUGCUGCCAUCAAGUGACGCAUCCAUGCAAAAUAAAUUCCUGUGUAUAUCUUUGAAAGACAGGUUUAACGUCAUCUAGACCCUGGCAAGAACAUAAAUUAAUGUAUCCUGUCUGCAAUGCUAUCUGGAUGCAAACAAAUUUCCCCCCCUCAAUAAAAGCUUUUGCUUGUCUAGUUUUUUAACUUUUAGAUGUCAUGGAGCCCCAAAUAUCAUCAUUUUCAUUCAAGGGACCCCCAUUCUGAAAUUUUAAAGGCAUUUGUAUAAAUUGUUGUAUAAAAACACAGUGUUUAUACACUGUGAAAAAUAAUAGCAUUAAUGUAUAAAAUGUUAAUUUAACUUAUUAAAUUAACUUUUUUAAGCUUUUAAACAUUUUUUUUUUCCUGUGUUCAUUAUUGUACUGAACUGUAAAAUCUAUGAAUUAAUUUUCUUUAUAAUCACAUUCAUUAAUUUACUUAAUUUAAUUAUUGUGAUAAAAAAUCAUUUAAGAAAAAACUAAUUUCUGCCCGAUCUAUUGUUCCCUCCAUAUUCAGAUCUUUAAACUGUUUUUCCAUCUCUCUGAAACAUCAAGCAUUCCUCUGACUAGGAAGGGCUCGUCUAUGAUCAGCUGUGAAGGAUGAUUUCUUAAUAUAGUGUAUGUGUGUUCGUUUGGUGCCUGCACUGACUCUCACAUUUGCUAGCUGUUAUAUCCGAGGUGUUAACACAGAGAGCUUGCUGUCUGAAGUGUUGUGGCUUGCACAACACCUCGCAAAAUUCAGGUUGACAUCUUCAUCCUAAGACUCUUUCCUAAAGGGUGUUUAUAACUGUGCCUUCGGCAGCAAAGUUAACUGCCUUUUUCUGUUUCUUUCAAGGAAGCAACAUGGACAUCUGUUCACUUGAAUUCUGGAGUUUGCUGAUGUCAGAUAUAAGGCUAUUUUGACAAACUGAAAUACACUUUGUAAAACUCCAAAACAAUGAAGACAAUGGAAUUCAGAAGGCUCCAGGGGAGAUCCACACAAUGCCUAGGACUGACGACCAAUAGAAACGGAGGCCAUUAACCUUUCUGCUAACAAAACAGAACUGAACUCACCUUCAAACAACAGAAGAUGCCUGCAUAUCUCUACUGCCACCUCUCAUUUACGUCUGGCUGAAUCACAGUGAACCGCAACACUCUAGAAGUGGCCUUUUUUGGGGAAAUUCUACAGGUUCACAUUUAAUACAAAGAAAGCAAUAUGAAGAGAACUGAACUGUUGUACUGUUGGACAUGAGCUGAUCAUCUAUGACACAACUGCCCUCAAUCAAUCUGUUUUCUGGUGUAAAUCAUGUAUUUACAGUUUAGCUGUUGUUGUGCCAGAUGUGAGAACUAUGUGGAAACUAAAUCUUUCUUGCUCUUUGACCAUAUAAAUUGUCAAACAGAUA